This 253-nucleotide ribosomal RNA is filed under the name uncultured bacterium. Its description in RNAcentral is "partial 16S ribosomal RNA". It matches the Rfam family "Bacterial small subunit ribosomal RNA", at positions 524 to 776 of the family's 1533-position model. The record is from RNAcentral.
UACAGAGGUGGCAAGCGUUGUUCGGAAUUACUGGGCGUAAAGGGCGCGUAGGCGGCCUUCUAAGUCAGACGUGAAAUCCCUCGGCUUAACCGGGGAACUGCGUCUGAUACUGGAUGGCUUGAGUGUGGGAGAGGGAUGCGGAAUUCCAGGUGUAGCGGUGAAAUGCGUAGAUAUCUGGAGGAACACCGGUGGCGAAGGCGGCAUCCUGGACCAUUACUGACACUGAAAAGCGAAAGCCAGGGGAGCAAACGUG